RNAcentral lists this ribosomal RNA (365 nucleotides) under uncultured archaeon. RNAcentral's name for it is "bacterial SSU rRNA". It matches the Rfam family "Archaeal small subunit ribosomal RNA", at positions 59 to 423 of the family's 1478-position model. The record is from RNAcentral.
CGAACGAGUUUAUUGCUCGUGGCGUACGGCUCAGUAACACGUGGAUAACCUACCCUUAGGACUGGGAUAACCCUGGGAAACUGGGGAUAAUACUAGAUAGGCAAUUUUUCCUGGAAUGGUUUUUUGUUUAAAUGUUUUUUCGCCUAAGGAUAGGUCUGCGGCCGAUUAGGUAGUUGGUUAGGUGACGGCUUACCAAGCCAUUGAUCGGUACGGGUUGUGAGAGCAAGAGCCCGGAGAUGGAACCUGAGACAAGGCUCCAGGCCCUACGGGGUGCAGCAGGCGCGAAACCUCCGCAAUGUGAGAAAAUCGCGACGGGGGGAUCCCCAAGUGCCAUUCUUAACGGGAUGGCUUUUCAUAAGUGUAAA